UACGGGGGGUGUGAGCGUUAAUCGGAAUUACUGGGCGUAAAGUGCGCGUAGGUGGCUUGAUAAUCCGGUUGUGAAAGCCCCGGGCUCAACCUGGGAACGGCAUCCGGAACUGGCAAACUAGAGUACAGGAGAGGAAGCUAGAAUUCCCGGUGUAGCGGUGAAAUGCGUAGAGAUCGGGAGGAAUACCAGUGGCGAAGGCGGCCUUCUGGACUGACACUGACGCUGAGGUGCGAAAGCGUGGGUAGCAAACAGG
RNAcentral lists this unclassified non-coding RNA (253 nucleotides) under uncultured Halomonadaceae bacterium. RNAcentral describes it as "contains 16S-23S intergenic spacer region". It matches the Rfam family "Bacterial small subunit ribosomal RNA", at positions 524 to 776 of the family's 1533-position model. The record is from RNAcentral. Lineage: Bacteria; Pseudomonadati; Pseudomonadota; Gammaproteobacteria; Oceanospirillales; Halomonadaceae.